RNAcentral lists this ribosomal RNA (793 nucleotides) under uncultured archaeon. RNAcentral's name for it is "bacterial SSU rRNA". It matches the Rfam family "Archaeal small subunit ribosomal RNA", at positions 85 to 876 of the family's 1478-position model. The record is from RNAcentral.
ACUGCUCAGUAACACGUGGAUAACCUGCCCUUGGGUCCGGCAUAACCCCGGGAAACUGGGGAUAAUACCGGAUAACGCACAUAUGCUGGAAUGCUUUAUGCGUAAAAUGGAUUCGUCUGCCCAAGGAUGGGUCUGCGGCCUAUCAGGUAGUAGUGGGUGUAAUGUACCUACUAGCCAACAACGGGUACGGGUUGUGAGAGCAAGAGCCCGGAGAUGGAUUCUGAGACAUGAAUCCAGGCCCUACGGGGCGCAGCAGGCGCGAAAACUUUACAAUGCGGGAAACCGUGAUAAGGGGACACCGAGUGCCAGCAUCAUAUGCUGGCUGUCCGGGUGUGUAAAAUACACCUGUCAGCAAGGGCCGGGCAAGACCGGUGCCAGCCGCCGCGGUAACACCGGCGGCCCGAGUGGUGAUCGUGAUUAUUGGGUCUAAAGGGUCCGUAGCCGGUUUGGUCAGUCCUCCGGGAAAUCUGACGGCUCAACCGUUAGGCUUUCGGGGGAUACUGCCAGGCUUGGAACCGGGAGAGGUAAGAGGUACUACAGGGGUAGGAGUGAAAUCUUGUAAUCCCUGUGGGACCACCUGUGGCGAAGGCGUCUUACCAGAACGGGUUCGACGGUGAGGGACGAAAGCUGGGGGCACGAACCGGAUUAGAUACCCGGGUAGUCCCAGCCGUAAACGAUGCUCGCUAGGUGUCAGGCAUGGCGCGACCGUGUCUGGUGCCGCAGGGAAGCCGUGAAGCGAGCCACCUGGGAAGUACGGCCGCAAGGCUGAAACUUAAAGGAAUUGGCGGGGGAG